Molecule: ribosomal RNA, 492 nt
Filed under: uncultured bacterium
Lineage: Bacteria
Description: partial 16S ribosomal RNA
Rfam family: Bacterial small subunit ribosomal RNA
Source: RNAcentral
AGUGAACGCUGGCGGUAGGCCUAACACAUGCAAGUCGAACGGCAGCACAGUAAGAGCUUGCUCUUACGGGUGGCGAGUGGCGGACGGGUGAGGAAUACAUCGGAAUCUACUUUUUCGUGGGGGAUAACGUAGGGAAACUUACGCUAAUACCGCAUACGACCUACGGGUGAAAGCAGGGGAUCUUCGGACCUUGCGCGAUUGAAUGAGCCGAUGUCGGAUUAGCUAGUUGGCGGGGUAAAGGCCCACCAAGGCGACGAUCCGUAGCUGGUCUGAGAGGAUGAUCAGCCACACUGGAACUGAGACACGGUCCAGACUCCUACGGGAGGCAGCAGUGGGGAAUAUUGGACAAAGGGCGCAAGCCUGAUCCAGCCAUACCGCGUGGGUGAAGAAGGCCUUCGGGUUGUAAAGCCCUUUUGUUGGGAAAGAAAGGCAGCAGGUUAAUACCCCGCUGUUCUGACGGUACCCAAAGAGUAAGCACCGGCUAACUUCGUG